Long non-coding RNA from Oreochromis niloticus (Nile tilapia), 1047 nucleotides. RefSeq lists it as uncharacterized. Lineage: Eukaryota; Metazoa; Chordata; Actinopteri; Cichliformes; Cichlidae. The record is from RefSeq and is a predicted model, not a curated record. The transcript is spliced from 2 exons.
GUAUAGACACCCAUAAAUAAAAUAUAACAUUUAAUAUAAUAAUAAUACCAUUAUAAAAGUAUAUUAAAUAUAUUUCAGUUUACUGCAUUUAGAUUUCAGGUUAGUUUUAUACCUUAUUAAAUUAUUUGUGUCUUAUCGUAUUUGAUUUAAACAAACAUUUCACAGACUUUGGGAUUUCAAAACAUCUUGAGGAUCCCCAAAAGUUGUGGAAAAUAUUCUAUGGACGGAGAAAAGUUGAACUUUUUGAAAGGUACAAAUGCUGUUACAUCUGGCAUAAAACUAAGACAGCUUUUCAUAAAAAGGUCAUACCAACAGUCAAACGUGGUGGCGGUAGUGUGAUGGUCUGGGGCUGCUUUGCUGCUUCUGGACCUGGAUGACUUGCCGUAACUGGUAGAAUCAUAAAUUCUGUUGUCUAUCAGAAUUUCUUUCAAGUUCAAGAGCGCUCAAGUUAUGCAGCAGCACAAUGAUAGUGACACACCAGCAAGUCCACCUCUGCAUGACUAAAAAAAACAAACCUCUGAGCAUGCUUUUGAUGGACUUCAGCAUGACUCAAAAACAAGCCGACUGAAUUAAAAUAACUUUGCAAAGAACAUUUAACCAAAGACUCAUCGCCAGCCAGUUUAUUAGGUUUUGUAUAACUUUUUCUAUUAAUAAAUUAAGAUUUGAAAAGUCUGCAUUUGCUUGGGUUACUUUAGUAUAAUAUUAAAACUUGUUUGAUGAUCUGAAGCAAAAGCACUGUAGGGGUACUUAAACAAUCACAAACAUCAAAGCUUUUUGUGUGGUUUGAAUAAACUCAUUAACAUUUAUGUUUUUCUAAACACAAUAACUGAUAUGUUCCUUAUGAAAAAAAAUUAUGUUUAUUUUGCAUUAACAGAGGACUGUAAACACAAAUAAUAUAACAGUAUAAGUGGUUUGUCCUGAGGCGCACAAACCGAUUCAUAAAAGAAUAUUAAUGACACAUCGGUGAGUCUGAUGAUGUCACUUAUUAUCAGCUUGAGCGGAAGAAGACUUUGACAGUGUUGUUGUAGAUUGUGUUGCCCAGCUCCA